This 72-nucleotide transfer RNA is filed under the name Bos indicus (zebu cattle). It matches the Rfam family "tRNA". From Rfam's summary of the family: Transfer RNA (tRNA) molecules are approximately 80 nucleotides in length. Their secondary structure includes four short double-helical elements and three loops (D, anti-codon, and T loops). RNAcentral also lists the same sequence under 4 other names. The record is from Rfam by way of RNAcentral. Lineage: Eukaryota; Metazoa; Chordata; Mammalia; Artiodactyla; Bovidae.
UCCCUGGUAGCUCAGCUGGUAAAGUGUCUGCCUGCAAUGCAGAAGACCCGGGUUCGAUCCCUGGGUCGGGAC